AUCGAUAAUCCACGUUAANUUUAACUAUAAUAUAAAAUUUAUAUACCACCAUCUUAAGAAUUAAUUUAAAAAUCUUUCUCUAAACAAAAAAUAAAAAGUUAGGUCAAGGUAUAAUUCACAUUAAAGAAUGAGAUGAAUUACACUAAACAAAAUCCAAAGACAAUUCAUUAAUACAUUUAUAUAAAUAAGAAUUUAAAAGUAAUAUUUAAAUAAUAUUAUAAUAUGAUACAAACAAUAAAUGUGCACACAUCGCCC
This 255-nucleotide ribosomal RNA is filed under the name Draconarius sp. ZZ276. Its description in RNAcentral is "partial 12S ribosomal RNA". Lineage: Eukaryota; Metazoa; Arthropoda; Arachnida; Araneae; Agelenidae. The record is from RNAcentral.